Molecule: long non-coding RNA, 805 nt
Filed under: Homo sapiens (human)
Lineage: Eukaryota; Metazoa; Chordata; Mammalia; Primates; Hominidae
Description: HSALNT0254242
Source: RNAcentral
AAAAAAAAAAGAAGUGCGGAUAUGGCCAGAGAGGCCUAAAGACAGAGCCUGGGCCUUGAGUUGGGAGUGGCCCUCGACAGUGGCACCCUAGUGCUAGUUAGAGGCUCCCACCCCACCUCCUGGACACCCCCCAAAUUCUUGUGGACCUAGGGCACCACCUGGCCACCAAGACAUGUGUCUCUCUGAACUGGGGGUAUCUUUUUGCUUUAAAUACUAAUACAUAUUUUCCCUGAUCACACAUGCUGGAUUCCAACUGCAGAAAACCAAGGGAAGUACCCAUUAGCAGCCACGUGCUAGCCAGCAGGGGCGUGUGCAGGGAGGGCUUUUAUGGACAGGAAACUUCCCGUAAAGGUCCAGACAGUAAAUUUUCAGCGUCUGCCUGGCAGAAGUAAUACAGGUAUGAAUGGGCACAGCUGGGUGCCAGUAAAGCUCUGCAAAAGCGAAGUGAGGCCCAGCACCCAUUCCUAUUAUGCUUUCCUCAGGGAGGGCCCCCUGGGGCUUGUUCCCAGCUAGCUGCCUCAUGAUGGGCGCGGCCCCACACAUCUCUGUGUCAUUUGCUCUGCAGAUAGACCUGGUAGCUCAAAAGCUCUGUCAUUUCCAUUUAUUUAUUUUUUUCUUUUUUUGAGACGGAGUCUCGCUCUGUCCCCCAGGCUGGAGUGCAGUGGCGCGAUCUCGGCUCACUGCAAGCUCCGCCUCCCGGGUUCACGCCAUUCUCCCGCCUCAGCCUCUCCAGUAGCUGGGACUACAGGCGCCCGCCACCACGCCCAGCUGAUUUUUUGUGUGUGUUUUUAGUAGAGAUGGGGUU